UAAUCCGAUAUUGUAUUAGCUUCUUGCUCAGCAGCCGUUUGUGUGCUCUGUUCUUUUCUUUUUUGAAGGAUGUGUGCUCUGUUCUUGGAAGCAUGCAUGUCAUGCUGAAGUUGCGUCUGCAUAUAUUUCUAGUGAUCACUAGAGACCCUUCCCGAAGGUUUUUGUGACAAGCCCUUGGUUGAUUUAUUAGUAACUGACAACUCUACAUGUUUGAAUUGCAUUGGAUGUUUGCUUUGGCGCAGUUUUUAGGAAUCAGAUGCAUGGAAGGAUCGUGAUCUAUCCAAGAAAUUUUGGAGGCGAAAGAUGAACCUAUUUUCCUGUUCUACUUUAAAUGGUCUCGGGGGCAACAAAGUGAAAGUGUAUUUGAUGACAAGGCGUUCACAAUGCCUCUAUGCUUUGCGCUGCCAUUGAUGCCAGUCAAUGAAGCCAACAUUCAAACAAGUGUAACGACUAUUAUGUUUGACGCCUCUUGCGAGAUAAUGAGCUACAAGUUUCUAUAGAAAACAAGUGUACAGUUUGUGAGUAUGAUUUAUAAAUUAGUAUGCAAGUUAUAACUAAA
Panicum hallii is the source of this 559-nucleotide long non-coding RNA. RefSeq lists it as uncharacterized. The record is from RefSeq and is a predicted model, not a curated record. The transcript has 5 exons. NCBI's taxonomy places the organism in Eukaryota, Viridiplantae, Streptophyta, Magnoliopsida, Poales, Poaceae.